Molecule: ribosomal RNA, 505 nt
Filed under: Carinoma tremaphoros
Lineage: Eukaryota; Metazoa; Nemertea; Palaeonemertea; Carinomiformes; Carinomidae
Description: partial 16S ribosomal RNA
Rfam family: Bacterial large subunit ribosomal RNA
Source: RNAcentral
AGCUUUUUGAAUUUAUAAAAAGUGUUUUCUGCCCGGUGACUUUUUGUUUAACGGCCGCGGUAUUCUGACCGUGCAAAGGUAGCAUAAUCAUUAGCUUCAUAAUUGGAGGCUUGUAUGAAUGGAUUUACAUAGUAGCUGCUGUCUCCUAGUUUUGUUUUGAAAUUUCUUUUUCGGUGAAGAAGCCGAAGUUUAUUCAUAGGACGAGAAGACCCUAUUGAGCUUUACUUUAUUUUUACUCUUUCGUUUUGUUAAUAUUUCUUUUAGUAUUUUUAAAAGUUUGACUGGGGCGGUCUAGGAAAAAUUUAACUUCCUUUUUUUGUUUUACUUGUUUGUGAUUUAAAGAUCCGAGUUUUUCGAUUAAAAGAAUAAGUUACCAUAGGGAUAACAGCGUAAUCUUUUCUUAGAGUUCUUAUCGAUGAGAGGGUUUGCGACCUCGAUGUUGGACUAGGGUUUCCUAAUGGUGUAGUCUUUAUUAAUGGUGGGUCUGUUCGACCUUUAAUACCCU